AGGAGUAUAGUUAACAAUAACAUUUAAUUUGCAAUUAAAAAGUGCUAAACCUUAGCUACUCUUA
Molecule: transfer RNA, 64 nt
Filed under: Nepa hoffmanni
Lineage: Eukaryota; Metazoa; Arthropoda; Insecta; Hemiptera; Nepidae
Description: tRNA-Ala
Source: RNAcentral